This is a long non-coding RNA of Setaria italica (foxtail millet), 2238 nucleotides long. RefSeq lists it as uncharacterized. Lineage: Eukaryota; Viridiplantae; Streptophyta; Magnoliopsida; Poales; Poaceae. The transcript has 2 exons. The record is from RefSeq and is a predicted model, not a curated record.
CUCUUGAAGCAGACGGAAAACCCAAUUUGCUACGAGACACCGAAAGUGAUCUCCCGUCCCCACCCCUCUCUCCGACUCCCUCUCCUCCUCACUCCCUAGGCAUGGCGGCGCCCCUCACCGGCCCUCUACCGCCCCUCCCGUCCCCCUUCCGCGCGCCCCUCACCGGCAGCAGUGAGGAGCGGCGGCAGGGUGACGUGCGGGGGCGGCGCACGGGCCAGGGCGCGGUGGGGCGCAGCGCGGGGGCAAGGCGUCCCUCCCCAAGUACGCCGCUCUGCUGGCGCCGCCGGAUUUCGCCGCGCGCCGCCCCUCUCGGGCCUCGGCGCCAUCCGUCCCGUCACGCCGCCCCUCCCGGCCGUCAUCGUGGGUCCCCUCCCGUGCUGCUACCGGUUGUUGCACGGUGGCGGAGCGCAGCCGCGUGGUCCCGCAGGUGCUGUGGCUGGCCUAGGCGUGGCACGUAGGACUAUGGCAGCGGUGGCAGAUUGGAGCGUGACGCACUCGCCUUCCUCGACCUCUUCCGUAGCCGUCGCCCUGUGGCCAGCGUUAUCGAGGUGCCGGGACGACGCUGGAUUCUUCUGUUAUGGUGCUCCACUCCUACUCCCUUCUGCAAUGGAUUAGGCCGCAGCCUGCAGGGUAUCAGGCGUUGCACCUGAAGUGCUGAUACUUGCCUCAAUCAGAUUGUUGCCUGAAUGUGGUCUACCUGAUCAUCAUAUUUGUCAUGUGAUCUUAGAGUAUGUAUUUUCCUUAGCUUAUGCCCAUCUUUAUACUGUUUUACUUCUUCUGAAAUCCUACAGCGGGUUUAGCCUGCACAAUGGUCAGACCAACAUCUUUUUCUUUCAUAGGAGUAUAUAUAGAAUACAUGGGAUCGGAGUACUUUGUUGUUAUUAAUGCUUCCUGUAGUUUACAGGUUCCAUCCAAGGAAUGCAAUGUGUUUUGAUGGAUUGGAUAAAGGAAGACAUGUUUUGUGGGCUCCCACAAUUGCAUCAAAUGCCUUUUGUCAUUAUAUGCAUCAGGAUAAAUUAUGCCUGCUUCAAUUAAGGAUUCAUUGGAACCCUCCUCGCGAAAAUGGUUCCUGUAAAGCAAACUAAGAGCGGGGAAGGAACUAGGGCAGGCAUAAGCUCACCAAUUAGGAUGCGUGAUUGAUUUCUUUAAUAGAUAUGAAAUGAAGAUGCCUUGAAUGAACCCAAGCAAUCAAGCUUCAAUUGAUUUUGCCAUCCAAUUCAAGUAAUCAGUAUGUGAUGGUUGAACUAUAAAUUAUUUGGUACGUUAGAAAUCAUUUGAAUACCGGUUCAUAGGUUCCGGGUAGCAAUCAUUAAUUAUAUGCAGUAACUUAUUUUGGUUUCCUUAUUUGUGACCCAUCUGAAAUGCUUUGUUUUUUUUAUAAGACUGCCUUCAUUUAUCUGUUGAUAUACGUUUCUUUCAUUAAUUCAUUUGUUAGGUUCAGUCUGUAACAUCAUUGUUGGAUGAUCUGUUAUGUUUUCAUUCACUAAUCUUCUCAUUUUUCCAGCGUUGGGUACUCCUGCUCUGCACUGUUCUUCGACCAUAUAUUAUUGAUUUCGGAAUCAAAUUACUACAAGAGUAUGGUAUUUGAUAAAUUAUUGCAUUUCGAAGUUAGUUCAAAUUGUACUGAACAGAUUUGUCGAUUGAUAUCAAUAGGUAGGUUCUCGAUCAGUUAUAGACACCAUAUCAGGAGAUAAAUUGAUGAUAUUUCGUACUCCUAUUUAAUAUCAGCUGGUGAGUUGUCCAUUUCGAGGCCCACCAACAGGUACCUUCCUUCCAACACAUGUAAACCCAUCCUCUUAGAAUAUGUAGGUUGACAUUUCUAAGAUUAGUUUCCUGCCAGUUCGUGGGUCAAAUAUGCAUUCUUUCUCUCUAAGAAUGCCAUCAUCUGCCUCCCAUAACAAAAUUUUUCAUUUUCAAUACAUGCUUAAUGCUUCCACUUUGCAGGGAGCUAGAGUUAACACCUGAGAUUGUCUCAUGGACCCUUCCUGCAAUUGCAAAGCCUGCUGCACUGGUGGCCCAGCUUGCACUGCUUCUUCAUCGUUUUCCUCUUUACAUCUUUGGUCUUGGGUCAUAUAUUGCUCCUUCAGCUUUAUUUCUUCUUUCAGUUAUUUUGUAUUUGUUUCAACUGUUUUACCGCUUUGAUAGCUUCUAUUGCUUGGCCUUUGGGGUGCCAAUGCCCUGUUAUGAUCUUCACUUCCUGGAAUUAACAAAUAAUAUUUAUACUCAUGAUAUUUUAUU